RNAcentral lists this ribosomal RNA (465 nucleotides) under Vreelandella stevensii. RNAcentral describes it as "partial 16S ribosomal RNA". It matches the Rfam family "Bacterial small subunit ribosomal RNA", at positions 338 to 795 of the family's 1533-position model. Lineage: Bacteria; Pseudomonadati; Pseudomonadota; Gammaproteobacteria; Oceanospirillales; Halomonadaceae. The record is from RNAcentral.
CCUACGGGGGGCAGCAGUGGGGAAUAUUGGACAAUGGGCGAAAGCCUGAUCCAGCCAUGCCGCGUGUGUGAAGAAGGCCUUCGGGUUGUAAAGCACUUUCAGUGGGGAAGAAAGCCUUGGGGCUAAUACCCUCGAGGAAGGACAUCACCCACAGAAGAAGCACCGGCUAACUCCGUGCCAGCAGCCGCGGUAAUACGGAGGGUGCGAGCGUUAAUCGGAAUUACUGGGCGUAAAGCGCGCGUAGGCGGUCUGAUAAGCCGGUUGUGAAAGCCCCGGGAUCAACCUGGGAACGGCAUCCGGAACUGUCAGGCUAGAGUGCAGGAGAGGAAGGUAGAAUUCCCGGUGUAGCGGUGAAAUGCGUAGAGAUCGGGAGGAAUACCAGUGGCGAAGGCGGCCUUCUGGACUGACACUGACGCUGAGGUGCGAAAGCGUGGGUAGCAAACAGGAUUAGAUACCCGAGUAGUC